RNAcentral lists this ribosomal RNA (468 nucleotides) under uncultured bacterium. RNAcentral describes it as "partial 16S ribosomal RNA". It matches the Rfam family "Bacterial small subunit ribosomal RNA", at positions 28 to 507 of the family's 1533-position model. The record is from RNAcentral.
GACGAACGCUGGCGGCGUGCUUAACACAUGCAAGUCGAACGGAAAGGCCCUGCUUUUGUGGGGUGCUCGAGUGGCGAACGGGUGAGUAACACGUGAGUAACCUGCCCUUGACUUUGGGAUAACUUCAGGAAACUGGGGCUAAUACCGGAUAGGAGCUCCUGCUGCAUGGUGGGGGUUGGAAAGUUUCGGCGGUUGGGGAUGGACUCGCGGCUUAUGAGCUUGUUGGUGGGGGAGUGGCUUACCAAGGCUUUGACGGGUAGCCGGCCUGGGAGGGUGACCGGCCACAUUGGGACUGAGAUACGGCCCAGACUCCUACGGGAGGCAGCAGUGGGGAAUAUUGCACAAUGGGCGGAAGCCUGAUGCAGCAACGCCGCGUGCGGGAUGACGGCCUUCGGGUUGUAAACCGCUUUCGCCUGUGACGAAGCGUGAGUGACGGUAAUGGGUAAAGAAGCACCGGCUAACUACGUG